CCUACGGGAGGCAGCAGUAGGGAAUCUUCCACAAUGGACGAAAGUCUGAUGGAGCAACGCCGCGUGAGUGAAGAAGGGUUUCGGCUCGUAAAACUCUGUUGUUAAAGAAGAACAUAUCUGAGAGUAACUGUUCAGGUAUUGACGGUAUUUAACCAGAAAGCCACGGCUAACUACGUGCCAGCAGCCGCGGUAAUACGUAGGUGGCAAGCGUUGUCCGGAUUUAUUGGGCGUAAAGCGAGCGCAGGCGGUUUUUUAAGUCUGAUGUGAAAGCCUUCGGCUCAACCGAAGAAGUGCAUCGGAAACUGGGAAACUUGAGUGCAGAAGAGGACAGUGGAACUCCAUGUGUAGCGGUGAAAUGCGUAGAUAUAUGGAAGAACACCAGUGGCGAAGGCGGCUGUCUGGUCUGUAACUGACGCUGAGGCUCGAAAGUAUGGGUAGCAAACAGGAUUAGAUACCCUGGUAGUC
Molecule: ribosomal RNA, 465 nt
Filed under: Lactiplantibacillus pentosus
Lineage: Bacteria; Bacillati; Bacillota; Bacilli; Lactobacillales; Lactobacillaceae
Description: bacterial SSU rRNA
Rfam family: Bacterial small subunit ribosomal RNA
Source: RNAcentral